AACGCGUAAUUAUUGUGAAAGUGAUAAAUAACGUAAUGGAUAUUUUUUUGAGAGAAAGAUAAUAAAUAUGCUAUCCGUUUCGUUUAUUUAUUUUUUUUUUAAAAAAAAUUAGUUGGAAGUGUAAAGCAAUUAGGUUUUAAACUUGUAACAUUGGAUACCAGCCGUCAAGUCUUUUACCGUUUGCGCUAGGGACGGUCAGUAUAUCACAAUAGAUGUUAAGAUUAUUUCUGAACUAUUUUCGAUAAUUGGAAGUGUAAAGCAAUUAGGCUUUAAACUUAUAACAUUGGAUAUCAGCCGUAAAAUCUUUUACCAUUUGCGCUGGGGACGGUCAGUAUAUCACAAAUAGAUGUUAAGAUUAUUUCUGAGCUGUUUUCGAUCGGGCACGUACAGGUCAGCAAC
RNAcentral lists this long non-coding RNA (399 nucleotides) under Ananas comosus (pineapple). Its description in RNAcentral is "long non-coding RNA (ACOM_LNC014095)". The record is from RNAcentral. Lineage: Eukaryota; Viridiplantae; Streptophyta; Magnoliopsida; Poales; Bromeliaceae.